GUCACACUGAAGGAACAGAUCACACCAUACCUGUGCUCUCUGUUUGCUUCUCCCUGUGAGCUGAGCAGUUUGUCUCCUUACCUCUCUGCUCUGUGUUGUUUCCUCUUUCCGACCAGAAGAUCUUCACAGCUUAGUCUGGACAGAACGUCACUCUGACAUGUCGAGCUCCAAAUAUCAGUGUUCCCAUCAGAGCUGUGGAGUGGUUCAGACUUGACCUGCUGGAAGGACAUGUUCUCAUGUACCGGGGUGAGCAGUUUGUUUCAUUCAACCAGCUUCCAUCGUUUGUGAACCGGGUAGAUCUGCAGAACAGAUGGAUGCAGGAUGGAGACGUGUCUUUGGUUCUGAAGGAUGUGACAAGAAAUGACACUGGAACAUAUCAGUGUUAUGUCAUUCAGAGAGGAAAGAACCACAGGAAGUGCACUGUGGAACAUAUCAGCAUCAUCUACCUUCAUGUUGUUGCUCCAGAUUUCUCGUGCUUGGUUUGGGGACUCUGGACGCUUUUCCCGACUCCUCUCUGCACCCCUGGGAACCCUGGCCCCCUUCUCCUUCACCUGUAUAUAGUGCACCUGGAGUGUGUAAAUAAACCUGUUUUUCUGAGAUUUCAGUCUGCGCCGAGUCCUCCCUGCUCCUCCGUCACGGAGACCACGGCCCUCUAUUGAGUAUAACAGACCUGAGCAUCUUCCUGGUAAUUAGCAUUACUUCGAUCCAGUGUUCUCCGGGUGAAAUUCCAGGGUGGCGUUGUCGGUUGUCUGUUAAAUUGUGAAGAGUAUUUAUUCCAUCCCAGCCUUGUGCUGCCACAUUUAGUUUAAGAUCUACAUUCUGAUAUUCUGAUGAGAGAGAGGUUGAGUCUCCAUGAACAGCUUUACUGCUGCUGUUUGACAUCUUCGAUCCAGCUUAGAUUAUUCCCACUGAUGAUGAAAUGCACUAGCUUAAAAAAAGUCAGAAUGUGGAGUAUAAGAUGUCAUAUUUAAAUCCAGUAACAUGAAAAAAUGAUGAAAAAAUGAUUUAUUGUAAAUCUCUUCUUUUGGUCCAUCUGUGCCUCUUUCUUGGACCAACAGGGGGGCCGUGAUCCACACUUUGGGAAUCACUGCUAUAGUGACUCAAUGAUCUAUUUUUUUUGUGGGGUAGCAUGUAGAUUACUUUAUAUUCCUGUAAGAGUAUAUUUGUUUUAUUUGUUUGUUAUUAACAAAUUUUCAACAUGUAUUAUUACUGAGUGACGGCUUUGCUAAAUCCAGCUGUGAGCUUUUUGACUGUUUCUGGGGACACUGAGCAGCAGCACAGAUCUAUACUGUGACAGUAUAAUGGAUGGUAUGUGUGUUUAUUUAUUUAAUCACUUAGUCUCAGCUCAGCCUUUUUGCAUAUAAAUAUCUUCCAGUCAUACAAUAUGCCAGCAUGAUUUCAAGAUAGUAAGUUUAGACUGAUCGAAGCAGGAACUGAGUAAAAAUGUGACCUGAGUGUGAGGUAUGUCUGAAAGACAUACCUCACACUCAGACACUCAGGUUAGACCUGACUAACCCACAAUAAAUAAAUAAUCAAGUAACUAAAAAUUAUUUUUAUUCAGGCCAUGGUGUAAUAAUGAUCACUAAACCUUUGAAAAUAGUCCCUUUAACCUUCCUAACAUUAAAGAUGAUAUUUUAAUAAAAACGUAACAUAUUUACUUUUACAAAUAGAGACAAUAUGAACCAGAAAAACCUGUGUGGGCCUGUCACUGUGAAAAAUUUGAAGCCUCCAGUUUUUGUUUUUUUUGUUUUAUCUGAACCAGGAAGUGUUUUGAAUGCAGGGCAGAGCUCUGACUCUGCAACCAAAGGGUAAGGUUGAGGGUAAAAACCUGUUUCAGUGUAGCGUACAGGUGUUCAGCAGUACUGGGAACAGUGGGUGUGUUAGUGGAGGCGCUUAAUGAAAUGAUCCCAGGAAGCAGGUUGUGAGAUUUUUAUACUAUCCUAUGCCACCUUAUACUUCUAAUCAAAGAAUUGUCGAAUCAUUAUACAGCUAUAGGCCACAUUAUGUCUUGGAUUAAAGAUGUAAAAUCAUUACUGUUUUAUGAUGCACUAUACUGCUGAUUUAUAAGAAAUACUGUUUGUGAAGAAUCAUGGCCUUCCUUUUCUGAGUACAAAGAGAACAGAACAUACCGUAGAGCUUUUCUGCCCUAUCUCAUCAGGAGGAGAUAAAACAGGAAGCCAAGGUCGUCACGUAGGUGCCGUAAGAGAGAAAGAAUGUGAAUGCUUAGUGUGGCGGAGGGCUGAAGCUAUAAGACUGUGAGAAACGGUCAGACACUUUGACAUUUUGCAGGAAACCCCGCCUUGCUCAUCUCCUGUCAGGAUGUUUAAGCUCAAAGUGUGUAAGGAAUUAUGAGAAGUGUAUGGAAUAAAGAGAUUGUUGAUUGAGCAUUUAUAUACUGAGUGUUUAUACACCCACACACCAUCAGGCUGUUUAACUCCUCUCUGGAGGGGAGAGGGAGGGGAAACAGGAGGACAAAGGAGGGGGGAACAACUAAGCUGUAGUGCCUCUUCACUGUGCAAGGCUUUUUGUUAAUAACCAACGGUGCAAUAGACUCACAACAUUUGAAAUGUACAAUUCCCUUGUAUUCUUAUUCCUAUUUAUUCUAUUUAUCCCUUUUGUAUCCUCUGUAUUUAUAUAUGUGUAUAUAUGCUAUUCUGCUCACAUUCUGUAACUUCUGUUGGUGCUGUGCUAUUGGAAACUGAAUUUCUCAGAGGAAUCCACCCGAGGGAUUAAUAAAGUUUUAUCUUAUCUUGUCUCUCUUGUUGUUCUUCCUUCAGCCCAAACAACAAAGAUUUGGGAUAUUUAACAAGGUGUAGCAGGCCUCCUAUUUUCAUUACAGAUAACUCG
Astatotilapia calliptera (eastern happy) is the source of this 2847-nucleotide long non-coding RNA. Lineage: Eukaryota; Metazoa; Chordata; Actinopteri; Cichliformes; Cichlidae. The record is from Ensembl.